Molecule: ribosomal RNA, 397 nt
Filed under: uncultured bacterium
Lineage: Bacteria
Description: partial 16S ribosomal RNA
Rfam family: Bacterial small subunit ribosomal RNA
Source: RNAcentral
AUACGUAGGGGGCGAGCGUUGUCCGGAAUGACUGGGCGUAAAGGGCGUGUAGGCGGCUGUCUAAGUCUGGAGUGAAAGUCCUGCUUUCAAGGUGGGAAUUGCUUUGGAGACUGGAUGGCUUGAGUGCGGAAGAGGUAAGUGGAAUUCCCAGUGUAGCGGUGAAAUGCGUAGAGAUUGGGAGGAACACCAGUGGCGAAGGCGACUUACUGGGCCGUAACUGACGCUGAGGCGCGAAAGCGUGGGGAGCGAACAGGAUUAGAUACCCUGGUAGUCCACGCCAUAAACGAUGAAUACUAGGUGUAGGGGGUAUCGACCCCCUCUGUGCCGACGUUAACACAUUAAGUAUUCCACCUGGGGAGUACGGCCGCAAGGCUGAAACUUAAAGGAAUUGACGGGG